Molecule: ribosomal RNA, 466 nt
Filed under: uncultured Alphaproteobacteria bacterium
Lineage: Bacteria; Pseudomonadati; Pseudomonadota; Alphaproteobacteria
Description: bacterial SSU rRNA
Rfam family: Bacterial small subunit ribosomal RNA
Source: RNAcentral
GAGUUUGAUCGUGGCUCAGAACGAACGCUGGCGGCAGGCUUAACACAUGCAAGUCGAACGCCCCGCAAGGGGAGUGGCAGACGGGUGAGUAACGCGUGGGAACGUACCUUUCGCUUCGGAAUAGUCCCGGGAAACUGGGUUUAAUGCCGGAUACGCCGUAUUGGGAAAGAUUUAUCGGCGAAAGAUCGGCCCGCGUUAGAUUAGCUAGUUGGCGGUGUAAUGGACCACCAAGGCGACGAUCUAUAGCUGGUCUGAGAGGAUGAUCAGCCACACUGGGACUGAGACACGGCCCAGACUCCUACGGGAGGCAGCAGUGGGGAAUCUUGGACAAUGGGCGCAAGCCUGAUCCAGCCAUGCCGCGUGAGUGAAGAAGGCCUUAGGGUUGUAAAACUCUUUCGCCGGAGAAGAUAAUGACGGUAUCCGGAGAAGAAGCCCCGGCUAACUCCGUGCCAGCAGCCGCCGUAAC